CCUACGGGUGGCAGCAGUAGGGAAUAUUGCUCAAUGGGGGAAACCCUGAAGCAGCAACGCCGCGUGGAGGAUGAAGGUUUUCGGAUUGUAAACACCGUUUGGUAGAGAAGAGAAUGACGGUAGCUAACGAAUAAGCAACGGCUAACGCCGUGCCAGCAGCCGCGGUAAUAUGGAGGGUGCAAGCGUUACUCGGAAUCACUGGGCGUAAAGAGCGCGGAGGCGGGAUUGCAAGUCAGAUGUGAAAUCCUAUGGCUUAACCAUAGAACUGCAUUUGAAACUGUUAUUCUAGAGUAUGGGAGAGGUAGGUGUAAUUCUUGGUGUAGUGGUCAAAUCCGUAGAGAUC
RNAcentral lists this ribosomal RNA (343 nucleotides) under uncultured bacterium. Its description in RNAcentral is "partial 16S ribosomal RNA". It matches the Rfam family "Bacterial small subunit ribosomal RNA", at positions 338 to 698 of the family's 1533-position model. The record is from RNAcentral.